This 1340-nucleotide long non-coding RNA is filed under the name Gopherus agassizii (Agassiz's desert tortoise). RNAcentral's name for it is "lncRNA (ENSGAGG00000019182.1)". Lineage: Eukaryota; Metazoa; Chordata; Testudines; Testudinidae. The record is from RNAcentral.
CGCAGCCCCAGAGACCGACCCCACUGAGCUGCCCUCCACAGUCCCAGAGCCCGGCUCCACCGAGCCGCCCCCCACGGCCCCAGAGCCUGGCCCCCCCAGUUUGGCCUCUCCCACCCCUGCUGAGCUGCCCAUUCCCCUGGAGUUGCCACUCAGUGCCCUGGAGUUGGCUGUGGUUAGCAGGAUGUGGCUGGCGAGGAAGCAGGCGUGGCAAAGUGCGCGGGCACCGCUGCAGAAUAUCCUGUGGGAGCUACAGAAGCUGGCAGGCCAGGCUGGAUUGCAGGAGCAGCUGGAGGAGGCGCUGUCCCAUCUGCUGCAGGAGAAUCAGGCCCUGCGGGCUGAGCUGGCACUGUGGCAAUCCCACACUCGAGAGGAAUGUACCACACCUGCCACUGGAGACAGACAACACCAGGGGACCUCAGCCACCCCCGCUCCAGUGCCCCUAGGGGAUAGAAGCCAGGGGGACCUUACUUAUGUUCUCCAGACUGCCUGGCUGGGGGUGCGGGAUGCCCAGACCCAGACAGAGGGGCCAGCACGGGGCAGGCGCCACAGGGAGCUUAUCUCGGCGGCCUUCGACCACACUCAGUAUGAGCCCUAUGGGCUGCCUGAGGUCGUCAUGAAAGGUUUUGCCGACAUCCCCUCCGGCCCCUCCUGCCCCUAUGUCCUUCGGAGGGGGCUCCUGGGCAGUACCCCCUUGGCCCAGCUGGCACCCAAAGCUGAGCCAGAGGAGGAUCCCGCUGAACCUGAUAUGGGCACCAGCAUCUGAGAGCAUCUACGCUGCUGGCCUGGAUGGCAGAAAUGUUCCCCCCCACCCCAGCUACAAAGAUCCCUGAUGUUGCCUGGAGCUCCCCAGCUGCUAUGUGGCACUUUAUGGCUGAGAAGGGGAGUCCUUCUCCCCUUCCCUCCACAGAUGGACAUGUGUAACCCUCUGGGAUUUAUUUUACAACCUGGCUUCCUCAAGGUGCUAAAAAUUGUGGGUGCUACAGCUUAGUGGGCUGACAGCUGCUCAAUGCCCCACUCCCUGCACACAAGGAAUGGGGGGGCUCAAUUAAUGGGGUUAAUUGGAAUCUCUGCCCCCCCCACAGACACACAGCUUGAAGGGAAUUAAACCCUCUAUUCAUGGCUCAGGGAAUCAAAGGGCGGGUUGUGUCCACCCACCCAAACUUUGGAGGAGCUGCUAUGUUGAGUCAUCCCCACCCCCCCGAGAGGGGCUCAGCAGAAUUUCCUCAAAGAGAGGGGGUGCAGCACAGGGAGUCUUUCCCCCCACACACCCGCCCCAGCUCUGGGGUUUAUAUGUAACUCUGUCUCCCCCAGCCCCAAUAAAGUUCCUUGCCUCAGCUUCA